GGAGACAAUAAUUUGGUAUAAAAGUCAAUUUAUAAAUACAAGUGCUCAGUGUCCUCAAUUUAAUCCUUAAGGACUUAUCUUAAUAAAUAAUAUUUUAACAAUAUUUUAAUAAAUAAAAAGGGGAGUUAUCCCUGUAUGCUAAAAUAUGCUCCUUUUAUUUCAAUUUUAAAAUUUGGAUGCCAAGGAACACUCUGAGUUUAUGGCACCCUACAGCUAGGCAUACUUCUGCCUAGAUGAAAUAGAAAGAUCCACAUAUUGGCAUGAUCCUGUUCAGAUAUUUUAUAUGGGGAAGAGGGAAUCUUUGUGUUUUUUCUACAGGAUGCUACAGGAGUGUGCCAGCUGCCCGAGUGGCUGGUGAGACUUGCUGAUCCUGUGAGCAUGAAGAUUCAGCUCUCCUGGUUCGGGUCCCUGGAGUCAUUCCUGUGUCCUUGGAGGAAUAUGGAGGAUUCCCACUCAUCUUUUGUCAUCACAGAAAUUCUGGCGUUGCUGCAGUCAUUGUGUCCCGUCCCACCACAGCCUGCGCUCCUACCCUCUGUGCACUGUUGCUUGGUGGAAGCUGCUGUGGACUGGGGAACUCUGCCCUGGUUUUGCAGAUCUCAGACAUGGUUCCAUUGCCUGCUGGUUGUUCCAGAGAAGAAUGACCGAUCCUGAACUGUCCUGGGAAAGACCUUGGCAUUUUCG
Molecule: long non-coding RNA, 681 nt
Filed under: Rattus norvegicus (Norway rat)
Lineage: Eukaryota; Metazoa; Chordata; Mammalia; Rodentia; Muridae
Description: long non-coding RNA NONRATT014528
Source: RNAcentral